Molecule: ribosomal RNA, 879 nt
Filed under: Laccaria japonica
Lineage: Eukaryota; Fungi; Basidiomycota; Agaricomycetes; Agaricales; Hydnangiaceae
Description: LSU rRNA
Rfam family: Eukaryotic large subunit ribosomal RNA
Source: RNAcentral
CUAACAAGGAUUCCCCUAGUAACUGCGAGUGAAGCGGGAAAAGCUCAAAUUUAAAAUCUGGCAGUCUUUGGCUGUCCGAGUUGUAAUCUAGAGAAGUAUUAUCCGCGCUGGACCGUGUACAAGUCUCCUGGAAUGGGGCGUCAUAGAGGGUGAGAAUCCCGUCUUUGACACGGACUGCCAGGGCUUUGUGAUGUGCUCUCAAAGAGUCGAGUUGUUUGGGAAUGCAGCUCAAAAUGGGUGGUAAAUUCCAUCUAAAGCUAAAUAUUGGCGAGAGACCGAUAGCGAACAAGUACCGUGAGGGAAAGAUGAAAAGAACUUUGGAAAGAGAGUUAAACAGUACGUGAAAUUGCUGAAAGGGAAACGCUUGAAGUCAGUCAUGUUGGCCAGGGAUCAACCUUGCUUUUUUGCUUGGCUUACUUUCUGGUUGAUGGGUCAGCAUCAAUUUUGACUGGUGGAAAAAGUUCAAGGGAAUGUGGCAUCUUCGGAUGUGUUAUAGCCUUUGUUCGCAUACAUUGGUUGGGAUUGAGGAACUCAGCACGCCGCAAGGCCGGGUUUUUAACCACGUACGUGCUUAGGAUGCUGGCAUAAUGGCUUUAAUCGACCCGUCUUGAAACACGGACCAAGGAGUCUAACAUGCCUGCGAGUGUUUGGGUGAAAAACCCGAGCGCGUAAUGAAAGUGAAAGUUGAGAUCCCUGUCGUGGGGAGCAUUGACGCCCGGAUCUGACCUUUUGUGACGAUUCUGCGGUAGAGCAUGUAUGUUGGGACCCGAAAGAUGGUGAACUAUGCCUGAAUAGGGUGAAGCCAGAGGAAACUCUGGUGGAGGCUCGUAGCGAUUCUGACGUGCAAAUCGAUCGUCAAAUUUGGGUAUAGGGGCGAAA